Molecule: ribosomal RNA, 922 nt
Filed under: Curvularia tsudae
Lineage: Eukaryota; Fungi; Ascomycota; Dothideomycetes; Pleosporales; Pleosporaceae
Description: LSU rRNA
Rfam family: Eukaryotic large subunit ribosomal RNA
Source: RNAcentral
CGUAGGUGUCCUUGAUCCAUUGAUCCAGUGUCUAUCAAAGCUAAUCGUAGCUCGCAGCAUCGAGCACAACCAACAGGGAUUGCCCUAGUAACGGCGAGUGAAGCGGCAACAGCUCAAAUUUGAAAUCUGGCUCUUUCAGAGUCCGAGUUGUAAUUUGCAGAGGGCGCUUUGGCUUUGGCAGCGGUCCAAGUUCCUUGGAACAGGACGUCACAGAGGGUGAGAAUCCCGUACGUGGUCGCUAGCUAUUGCCGUGUAAAGCCCCUUCGACGAGUCGAGUUGUUUGGGAAUGCAGCUCUAAAUGGGAGGUAAAUUUCUUCUAAAGCUAAAUACUGGCCAGAGACCGAUAGCGCACAAGUAGAGUGAUCGAAAGAUGAAAAGCACUUUGGAAAGAGAGUCAAACAGCACGUGAAAUUGUUGAAAGGGAAGCGCUUGCAGCCAGACUUGCUUGCAGUUGCUCAUCCGGGCUUUUGCCCGGUGCACUCUUCUGCAGGCAGGCCAGCAUCAGUUUGGGCGGUGGGAUAAAGGUCUCUGACACGUUCCUUCCUUCGGGUUGGCCAUAUAGGGGAGACGUCAUACCACCAGCCUGGACUGAGGUCCGCGCAUCUGCUAGGAUGCUGGCGUAAUGGCUGUAAGCGGCCCGUCUUGAAACACGGACCAAGGAGUCUAACAUCUAUGCGAGUGUUUGGGUGUCAAGCCCGAGCGCGUAAUGAAAGUGAACGGAGGUGGGAACCCGCAAGGGUGCACCAUCGACCGAUCCUGAAGUUUACGGAAGGAUUUGAGUAAGAGCAUGGCUGUUGGGACCCGAAAGAUGGUGAACUAUGCUUGAAUAGGGUGAAGCCAGAGGAAACUCUGGUGGAGGCUCGCAGCGGUUCUGACGUGCAAAUCGAUCGUCAAAUUUGGGCAUAGGGGCGAAAGACUAAUC